This is a long non-coding RNA of Cyprinodon tularosa, 332 nucleotides long. RefSeq lists it as uncharacterized. The record is from RefSeq and is a predicted model, not a curated record. Lineage: Eukaryota; Metazoa; Chordata; Actinopteri; Cyprinodontiformes; Cyprinodontidae. The transcript is spliced from 3 exons.
UGUCCGUUGAGUCACGCCUUCAAAGAGACAAUAGUUCACACGAGCACAAAAAACAGAUCCACACGUGAGAAAGGGAGGCUGUGCACGAGGAUAUCAGACCACCAAGUUUGAUGUGGAGAUGAUUCUGCCACUAGAGGGUGCUACUGCUGCUGUUGAAUCAGCCCGCCAUUUUGACCCGGGAGCAGAAAUACACUGUAGACAGGAUGGUUGAGGCUCAUCGCCAGUUUAGGGAGCAAGACAGCAGCAGUUACAGGGUCUCUGAAUGGCAGUGUGCUCUGGAGGGGGCGGGGCUGCCUGAUGUUAUAUCCCCACACCUAAACAGACUGCUGCAG